GUUGUUGGGUUGCCCGAGUAGCAGCGGGCUCGUGGAAUCUGCUGUGAAUCUGCCGGGACCACCCGGUAAGCCUAAAUACUCAGUGUGACCGAUAGUGUAUUAGUACCGUGAGGGAAUGGUGAAAAGUACCCCGGGAGGGGAGUGAAAUAGUUCCUGAAACCAUGUGCUUACAAUCCGUCAGAGCACUUUUUAUUGUGUGAUGGCGUGCCUUUUGAAGAAUGAGCCUGCGAGUCAGCGGCAUGUCGCGAGGUUAACCCGUGUGGGGUAGCCGUAGGGAAACCGAAUCCUAAUGGGGUGUUUUAGUGGCAUGUCCUGGACCCGAAGCGGGG
Molecule: ribosomal RNA, 329 nt
Filed under: Corynebacterium sp. HMSC034H07
Lineage: Bacteria; Bacillati; Actinomycetota; Actinomycetes; Mycobacteriales; Corynebacteriaceae
Description: bacterial LSU rRNA
Rfam family: Bacterial large subunit ribosomal RNA
Source: RNAcentral